AAUUGAAGAGUUUGAUCAUGGCUCAGAUUGAACGCUGGCGGCAGGCCUAACACAUGCAAGUCGAACGGUAGCACAGAGAGCUUGCUCUCGGGUGACGAGUGGCGGACGGGUGAGUAAUGUCUGGGAAACUGCCCGAUGGAGGGGGGUAACUACUGGAAACGGUAGCUAAUACCGCAUAACGUCGCAAGACCAAAGUGGGGGACCUUCGGGCCUCACACCAUCGGAUGUGCCCAGAUGGGAUUAGCUAGUAGGUGGGGUAACGGCUCACC
RNAcentral lists this ribosomal RNA (269 nucleotides) under Salmonella enterica subsp. enterica serovar Kentucky. Its description in RNAcentral is "partial 16S ribosomal RNA". It matches the Rfam family "Bacterial small subunit ribosomal RNA", at positions 1 to 269 of the family's 1533-position model. The record is from RNAcentral. Lineage: Bacteria; Pseudomonadati; Pseudomonadota; Gammaproteobacteria; Enterobacterales; Enterobacteriaceae.